GAUGAAGAACACAGCGAAAUGCGAUAAGUAAUGUGAAUUGCAGAAUUCAGUGAAUCAUCGAAUCUUUGAACGCACAUUGCGCCCGCCAGUAUUCUGGCGGGCAUGCCUGUUCGAGCGUCAUUACAACCCUCAGGCCCCCGGGCCUGGCGUUGGGGAUCGGCGGAGCCCCCCGUGGGCACACGCCGUCCCCCAAAUGCAGUGGCGGUCCCGCCGCAGCUUCCAUCGCGUAGUAGCUAACACCUCGCGACUGGAGAGCGGCGCGGCCACGCCGUAAAACACCCAACUCUUCUGAAGUUGACCUCGAAUCAGGUAGGAAUACCCGCUGAACUUAAGCAUAUCAAUAAGCGGAGGA
RNAcentral lists this unclassified non-coding RNA (352 nucleotides) under soil metagenome. RNAcentral describes it as "partial contains 5.8S ribosomal RNA, internal transcribed spacer 2, and large subunit ribosomal RNA". The stretch from base 1 to 120 matches the Rfam family "5.8S ribosomal RNA", at positions 35 to 154 of the family's 154-position model. The record is from RNAcentral.